RNAcentral lists this transfer RNA (76 nucleotides) under Spirochaetia bacterium. RNAcentral describes it as "tRNA-Pro". It matches the Rfam family "tRNA". From Rfam's summary of the family: Transfer RNA (tRNA) molecules are approximately 80 nucleotides in length. The record is from RNAcentral. Lineage: Bacteria; Pseudomonadati; Spirochaetota; Spirochaetia.
CGGGGCGUUGCCUAGUGGCUAAGGCGCUUGCUUUGGGAGCAAGAAAUCGGAGGUUCGAGUCCUCUCGCCCCGACUA